This is a long non-coding RNA of Oxyura jamaicensis (ruddy duck), 298 nucleotides long. RefSeq lists it as uncharacterized. The record is from RefSeq and is a predicted model, not a curated record. The transcript is spliced from 2 exons. Lineage: Eukaryota; Metazoa; Chordata; Aves; Anseriformes; Anatidae.
UCGUAGCCCCUGCAAGUGCCUUUGCAAACUGGCAAGUUAACAGCCAGAUAAAAAGACUCAUGGCCGAGCACGUAACGCAGUAACCAGCCCCACAUUUUGUGAGAGUAGCACAACAUGGGAAAUACAACAGGCAGUUUAUAGGUUCAGCUACCUUGCAAAGUUCUGAAGUUCGCCAUACAGAAGAAGUUUCCUGACUGAAACAAACUCUUAAAAAAUAUCCUUUGGCUUUUGUAAGAAAAACUGAUUUCCUGAUUGACCCUAAAGACACAGUACCAGAUAAAUCCAGCACUGCAAAAAA